RNAcentral lists this ribosomal RNA (828 nucleotides) under uncultured Duganella sp. Its description in RNAcentral is "bacterial SSU rRNA". It matches the Rfam family "Bacterial small subunit ribosomal RNA", at positions 76 to 902 of the family's 1533-position model. Lineage: Bacteria; Pseudomonadati; Pseudomonadota; Betaproteobacteria; Burkholderiales; Oxalobacteraceae. The record is from RNAcentral.
GGGGCAACCUGGCGGCGAGUGGCGAACGGGUGAGUAAUAUAUCGGAACGUACCCUAGAGUGGGGGAUAACGUAGCGAAAGUUACGCUAAUACCGCAUACGAUCUACGGAUGAAAGUGGGGGAUCGCAAGACCUCAUGCUCCUGGAGCGGCCGAUAUCUGAUUAGCUAGUUGGUGGGGUAAAGGCCUACCAAGGCAUCGAUCAGUAGCUGGUCUGAGAGGACGACCAGCCACACUGGAACUGAGACACGGUCCAGACUCCUACGGGAGGCAGCAGUGGGGAAUUUUGGACAAUGGGCGCAAGCCUGAUCCAGCAAUGCCGCGUGAGUGAAGAAGGCCUUCGGGUUGUAAAGCUCUUUUGUCAGGGAAGAAACGGUGUUCUCUAAUACAGAAUGCUAAUGACGGUACCUGAAGAAUAAGCACCGGCUAACUACGUGCCAGCAGCCGCGGUAAUACGUAGGGUGCAAGCGUUAAUCGGAAUUACUGGGCGUAAAGCGUGCGCAGGCGGUUUUGUAAGUCUGUCGUGAAAUCCCCGGGCUCAACCUGGGAAUGGCGAUGGAGACUGCAAGGCUAGAAUCUGGCAGAGGGGGGUAGAAUUCCACGUGUAGCANUGAAAUGCGUAGAGAUGUGGAGGAACACCGAUGGCGAAGGCAGCCCCCUGGGUCAAGAUUGACGCUCAUGCACGAAAGCGUGGGGAGCAAACAGGAUUAGAUACCCUGGUAGUCCACGCCCUAAACGAUGUCUACUAGUUGUCGGGUUUUAAUUAACUUGGUAACGCAGCUAACGCGUGAAGUAGACCGCCUGGGGAGUACGGUCGCAAGAUUAAAACUC